AAUGGGCGAAAGCCUGACGGAGCAAUGCCGCGUGUGGGAUGAAGCGCUUCGGCGUGUAAACCACUGUCAGGUCCUAGGAACACUGACCAGGACCAGAGGAAGGGCCGGCUAACCUCGUGCCAGCAGCCGCGGUAAGACGAGGGGCCCAAGCGUUAAUCGGAAUCACUGGGCUUAAAGGGUGCGCAGGCGGAUUGGAAAGCAUCUUGUGAAAGCCCCCGGCUCAACCGGGGAAUUGCAGGGUGAACUUCCAGUCUUGAGACAGGUAGGGGCAGAUGGAACUGUCGGUGGAGCGGUGAAAUGCGUAGAUAUCGACAGGAACGCCAAUGGCGAAGGCAGUCUGCUGGGCCUGUUCUGACGCUCAGGCACGAAAGCGUGGGGAGCAAACAGGAUU
RNAcentral lists this ribosomal RNA (391 nucleotides) under uncultured Gammaproteobacteria bacterium. Its description in RNAcentral is "bacterial SSU rRNA". It matches the Rfam family "Bacterial small subunit ribosomal RNA", at positions 370 to 779 of the family's 1533-position model. Lineage: Bacteria; Pseudomonadati; Pseudomonadota; Gammaproteobacteria. The record is from RNAcentral.